AGAGAAAAAAGCCAAGCUAAAAUCUGAAUCAUCCUCAUCCUCAUCCUCUGAAUCCAGUAGUGAUAGCGAACGUGGGGAGGUUAUUCACAUGAGCCGCUUCAGAGAUGAAACUAUUCCUGCCGCACUACCUCAAUUGCACCCACUUACUCAUCACCACCCAACUUCCACCCUACCAGUCUCCCCAACCCAAGAAUGCAACCCGAUGGAUUACACUUCAACACAUCAUGAAAAACGAUGCUGCGUU
This 244-nucleotide long non-coding RNA is filed under the name Ricinus communis (castor bean). Its description in RNAcentral is "long non-coding RNA (RCOM_LNC001077)". The record is from RNAcentral. Lineage: Eukaryota; Viridiplantae; Streptophyta; Magnoliopsida; Malpighiales; Euphorbiaceae.